UAGGGAAUCUUCCGCAAUGGACGCAAGUCUGACGGAGCAACGCCGCGUGAGUGAAGAAGGAUUUCGGUUCGUAAAACUCUGUUGUUAGAGAAGAACAGCGCAUAGAGUAACUGUUAUGCGUGUGACGGUAUCUAACCAGAAAGCCACGGCUAACUACGUGCCAGCAGCCGCGGUAAUACGUAGGUGGCAAGCGUUGUCCGGAUUUAUUGGGCGUAAAGCGAGCGCAGGCGGUCAAUUAAGUCUGAUGUGAAAGCCCCCGGCUCAACCGGGGAGGGUCAUUGGAAAGUGGUUGACUGGAGUGCAGAAGAGGAGAGUGGAAUUCCAUGGGUAGCGGUGAAAUGCGUAGAUAUAUGGAGGAACACCAGUGGCGAAGGCGACUCUCUGGUCUGUAACUGACGCUGAGGCUCGAAAGCGUGGGUAGCAAACAGG
Molecule: ribosomal RNA, 429 nt
Filed under: Bacteroidota bacterium
Lineage: Bacteria; Pseudomonadati; Bacteroidota
Description: Bacteroidetes bacterium partial 16S ribosomal RNA
Rfam family: Bacterial small subunit ribosomal RNA
Source: RNAcentral